AUUGAACGCUGGCAGCAUGCCUUACACAUGCAAGUCGAACGGCAGCACGGGGCAACCUGGUGGCGAGUGGCGAACGGGUGAGUAAUGCAUCGGAACGUACCUUUCAGUGGGGGAUAACGUAGCGAAAGUUACGCUAAUACCGCAUAUUCUGUGAGCAGGAAAGCAGGGGAUCGCAAGACCUUGCGCUGAUUGAGCGGCCGAUGUCAGACUAGCUAGUUGGUGAGGUAAAGGCUCACCAAGGCGACGAUCUGUAGCGGGUCUGAGAGGAUGAUCCGCCACACUGGAACUGAGACACGGUCCAGACUCCUACGGGAGGCAGCAGUGGGGAAUUUUGGACAAUGGGGGCAACCCUGAUCCAGCCAUGCCGCGUGAGUGAAGAAGGCCUUCGGGUUGUAAAGCUCUUUCGGCCGGGAAGAAAUCGCACGGGCUAAUACCCUGUGUGGAUGACGGUACCGGAAUAAGAAGCACCGGCUAACUACGUGCCAGCAGCCGCCGUAA
RNAcentral lists this ribosomal RNA (498 nucleotides) under uncultured bacterium. RNAcentral describes it as "partial 16S ribosomal RNA". It matches the Rfam family "Bacterial small subunit ribosomal RNA", at positions 30 to 523 of the family's 1533-position model. The record is from RNAcentral.